UGAGGAAUAUUGGUCAAUGGGCGAGAGCCAGAACCAGCCAAGUAGCGUGAAGGAUGACUGCCCUAUGGGUUGUAAACUUCUUUUAUAAAGGAAUAAAGUCGGGUAUGGAUACCCGUUUGCAUGUACUUUAUGAAUAAGGAUCGGCUAACUCCGUGCC
RNAcentral lists this ribosomal RNA (157 nucleotides) under uncultured bacterium. RNAcentral's name for it is "partial 16S ribosomal RNA". It matches the Rfam family "Bacterial small subunit ribosomal RNA", at positions 355 to 509 of the family's 1533-position model. The record is from RNAcentral.